Molecule: long non-coding RNA, 1663 nt
Organism: Astyanax mexicanus (Mexican tetra)
Lineage: Eukaryota; Metazoa; Chordata; Actinopteri; Characiformes; Acestrorhamphidae
Exons: 3
Source: RefSeq, a predicted model, not a curated record
UCCGUGUUAACACGUCCAAUUUGAACGUCUUAAGACGGCAAAUCUUACCGUGUUAACACGUUACUUUUGGACGUCUUAACACGUAACAACGUCUUAAGACGGCAAAAUGUGCCGCGUUAACACGUAACUUUAAAAUUGGGUGCUACCACUGCACUCACAUCUGAGGGGGGGAAUCCAAACACUGCAAAAAAGCCCCUCCAAAGACCCACCCUGACCUCGCCCCCAUUCUUUGGCGCGCAACGCUGACCGUAGCACCUGUGAUGCUCCUUUUGUUUGUGUUUCAAGAUCUGGCAACCCUGGCCGCAGCGUUGGCGCAGAAGAAAUGAAUCAGCAGAGGCUUCAAGCAAUAGCUGAUCGAUUUCAACAGCUUGUUAAUCGAGCAUCUGCAACUGAAGGCAGGCCUUCCACUUCUGGGACAAUGGUCGACAGCGGGAUCAACAGUGAAAAAAGUUGUAGUGCCACUCUCCAUGCCAGAAGCUGCUUUUAUUGAAAAAAUAAGAGAAGAAUUUCCUGCUGUACAAGGUGACUUUUGCCUUUUCAGAGUUGACAGACAGAGGAGAAUCCACCGACUGGAGCUUACUUCAGUCUGUCCGGCUGCUAUAAAAGCCUGUUCUGUGCUAAGAAGAUCAGAAAAAUGGUAUGAUACUGUCACUUGAGUCAAAUUCCAGGGCAUUUUAAAUGCUUUAUAAUUAAAUGAAACAUGCAGUUUAAAAUACUAUGCUUACUUUGUUUUUUGUUUUAGUGUAGAAAGAACUAACCUAAUUUCAUGUUUUUGUCAAAUUCAUUUAAUUUUUAAUACACACCAUUUCUGCACCUCAACUCUGCAACACAUUUUAAAAACGAUAGGGACACUAAAAAAAAUUGUCACCUUGCUUGUUGAGGGUAAUAGUUAUUUCAGGCCAUUGCAGAAGGCAUUGUACUAAAAUGAUCAGGCUAUACAUUGUACAUUGAGAAGAGGUGGUGCAUGUGAAUGUCUUGUUUAAAUCAAUAAUAUGGGUCUCCCAGAAGUGGCAAAAAAAUCCAGUUUACUGGAAAUUCCUGUCAGAACUGCGGCCAAAACAUGAAACUGACUGACAGGGUCCAUUAGUGAGUUUUAAGCUUGCUACAUGGUAUGCAUUUCUCUACAGUGUUCUUUCAGAAAUUGGUUGUGAAGGAUCUGCAUUUACUUCUUGAAGCAAUUAUUGCCUGGAAGUACAGCAGUUUUGGUCCACAAGCCGUUAAAUCUGUCAGUAGUCCCUGUCCAUCAGUUUGGUGUUUUGGCCACAGACCUGACCAAAAUUCCCUGCAGAUUGGGAUUUUUGCCACUGCAUCAUGCCAUACUCUACAUCUGCUUUGUGAACUAUUUUACACACAUCAUAUAAGAUGCAUUGUACACUGUACUGCCUCUUUUCAAUCUACAAAACCUCACACCUGCAGGCAUUUAAAUUUGUCCUCAUAUAAUUUUAUCUACAAAAUCCUGAAUUUACUGCCACCUUAAACAUACAAGAUGAAUGAUCUUUUUUGUUUGACCUUAUUAACCACUUUGUAAUGGUGCUAAUUGUUAUCACAACACUUAAAUGAUGUCUUUGUACCUGAGGAUAAAAGUAGUGAAAUUGUUUCAUGUGUUGUACUGUCCCAUUCUUUCUGCAAACACCUCCUAAUGUGUGCAACAUUGUCUGAUGGG